UCUGUAUUUGGAUUACUGGUUUCUCUGCAGAUGAGGAAUCAAAACUCUUGCUUCAACACUUUGCCUUCGAUUGAGAAUUGAGAGAAGGCGGCUGGAGGAGCAGAAUGGGUUAGAAAUACCGUGUCUUGCAGAAGAAAAUGUGAUCACGGAGGAGGAGAGAAAAAAAUCUCUCCAGAAUAUUUAUUUAAAAUUUGAACUAAGGAAAGUCUUGGUGACCAAGUCAAGGAGGAAAAGAUUUAAUUAAAUUAGUUUGAUUCACGGUCCUUUGUAUUUUAUUUAAAUUGUGCAGCCUACAAUUUAUUUCCCACAAGACUAGAUUUUUGUAUUAUAUAUAUUCAAUUUAUCGGAUCCAACACGAAAUUGAGUCCAAUAAAUAUUCCUCACUGAAAGAAAUUAUUUAGUUUCA
Molecule: long non-coding RNA, 406 nt
Organism: Salvia splendens (bonfire salvia)
Lineage: Eukaryota; Viridiplantae; Streptophyta; Magnoliopsida; Lamiales; Lamiaceae
Exons: 2
Source: RefSeq, a predicted model, not a curated record